This 115-nucleotide long non-coding RNA is filed under the name Zonotrichia albicollis (white-throated sparrow). RNAcentral describes it as "lncRNA (ENSZALG00000013666.1)". Lineage: Eukaryota; Metazoa; Chordata; Aves; Passeriformes; Passerellidae. The record is from RNAcentral.
CAGAAUGUGAAGGACACCUGCUCCAGCAGGAAUAGCUGGGAUCAAAAUCCAAGCUGUAGAGAAUGAAAGUAAUCUCUGGAAAAUGCACCUUUUCUUUUCCAAGCCUGUCUCCCUC